RNAcentral lists this long non-coding RNA (747 nucleotides) under Vigna radiata. RNAcentral's name for it is "long non-coding RNA (VRAD_LNC014414)". The record is from RNAcentral. Lineage: Eukaryota; Viridiplantae; Streptophyta; Magnoliopsida; Fabales; Fabaceae.
AUUAUUCUUUAAUCAAAUAAAUAAGUUCAAAGAAAUUACAUAUUAAAAACAAUUUCACAAACAAAUAAAAUCAAACUCAAAAAAAUAUACAUAUUAAAUAAUAUAUACAAAAUUUAAAACAAAACAAAUAAUAAAUAAAAAAUUUAAAAAAAUUAACAAACAAAUAAUAAAUAAAACAAAACAUACUACGAAAACAAAAUAUAUAAAAUAUUAAAAAAAUUAAUUUAAUAUAAUAAUAUCAUUUUUUAUAUGCAGAAAAAAAAUGGAAAACCCUAAAAAAUUCUGACCACAGCUCGCAAUGAACCGCAACUCAAGGCACCCCCAAUUCCUUUGCCGCAGCUCGAGUUAUCGGCUAACAACUGCCACAUCUCCCAACUGCGGCUACCUUUAGCCGCAUCUACCAAGUGCAGUUAUGCAUAGCCGCACCUCCUAGGUGCGGCACCCCUCAACCACGCCUCUCAGGUGCGACAGCUCUUAACCGAGCCUCCCAGGUGCGGUUCUGCGCGCUCACAUCCCUCCCUCUCAACCCUGCUUGAAAAAUCCUCAACCCCAACCCCAAUUCAAUCGCAUUUUGUAUUCUAUAUGAGUAGCUUCAACAAAAACAAUCGCAUUCUAGAUUCAACUGUGCGCUACAGUUUCUCUCACAGUAUAUAAACAUCAUGAUCAAAUAACAAGCAGCAGCUUCAAGAAAAACAACAUUUAACGCAACUAACCUGGACGCCUGCUAGAAGAAAUGCUAGAUCUCAC